UUCAUCGCAUAUGUCUAUAGGACAACAUAUAAACGUGUGAACUAAAGAAGUCUUGUGUUGUGUUAUUCUAUAUUAUUUGUAAGACUGUUGUCGAAAUACACGAACCCUAUGCUUGGAUAAGUUAGACAUCAAUGAAUCUUGCACAUCUUCAUGAUUGCCUCCAAGGAUUUAUGAAGCUGGAACAGAACCACUAGACAAUCCAAAAGUGAUUAUCCAAUCGGUGUCUUGGUCAAUAAUGUUAAGUGUUUUAUAAAAUAUUAUAAAUGUAGUUUUAUAGGGGUUUAUAAAUUUAUAAAUUAGAGAGACUUAUAAUAAUUGUUUAUUCUUUGUUACAUCUUGUGGUUAAUACAUUAUUUGGAUUCUCUGAGGAAUACAAACAUUUGGUGA
Long non-coding RNA from Brassica napus (rape), 387 nucleotides. RefSeq lists it as uncharacterized. The transcript has 2 exons. NCBI's taxonomy places the organism in Eukaryota, Viridiplantae, Streptophyta, Magnoliopsida, Brassicales, Brassicaceae. The record is from RefSeq and is a predicted model, not a curated record.